Molecule: ribosomal RNA, 473 nt
Filed under: uncultured bacterium
Lineage: Bacteria
Description: bacterial SSU rRNA
Rfam family: Bacterial small subunit ribosomal RNA
Source: RNAcentral
AGUGAACGCUGGCGGCAGGCCUAACACAUGCAAGUCGAGCGGCAGCGCGUCCGACCACCCUCGGGUGGUCGGAUGGCGGCGAGCGGCGGACGGGUGAGGAAUGCAUCGGAAUCUGCCUCGUUGUGGGGGAUAACGUAGGGAAACUUACGCUAAUACCGCAUACGACCUACGGGUGAAAGUGGGGGACCUUCGGGCCUCACGCGAUGAGAUGAGCCGAUGCCGGAUUAGCUAGUUGGCGGGGUAAAGGCCUACCAAGGCUACGAUCUGUAGCGGGUCUGAGAGGAUGAUCCGCCACACUGGAACUGAGACACGGUCCAGACUCCUACGGGAGGCAGCAGUGGGGAAUUUUGGACAAUGGGGGCAACCCUGAUCCAGCCAUGCCGCGUGAGUGAAGAAGGCCUGGUGUAAGCUCUUCGUCCGGAGAAUACGCACAGUAAGUACCUGUGUGGAUGACGGUACCGGAAGUAAGAAGC